UACGAAGGGGGCUAGCGUUGUUCGGAAUUACUGGGCGUAAAGCGCGCGCAGGUGGUCUUUCAAGUCAGUGGUGAAAGCCCGGAGCUCAACUCCGGAAAUGCCAUUGAAACUGUGAGACUUGAGGAUGAGAGAGGUGAGUGGAAUUCCCAGUGUAGAGGUGAAAUUCGUAGAUAUCGAGAGGAACACCAGUGGCGAAGGCGAGUCUCUGGACGACUCCUGACACUGAGGCACGAAAGCUAGGGGAGCAAACAGG
This 253-nucleotide ribosomal RNA is filed under the name uncultured bacterium. RNAcentral's name for it is "partial 16S ribosomal RNA". It matches the Rfam family "Bacterial small subunit ribosomal RNA", at positions 524 to 776 of the family's 1533-position model. The record is from RNAcentral.